ACUCUGCAUCCUGUGACCAUUCCCAACAGAUGGAGCUCUCUUUGGGCAGCAUUUCAAUGAUAUAGCUGCAAAAACUCUUUCAAGUUCCCUCUUCAAAGCUGACCCUUUCCAAAAUUUCAGAAUUACUGUAAAAGCCAUAUCAUACGAGCUUGAUUCAACCAAAAGGUCAAUCACAUCAGUUGGGGCUGCCUCAAUUUUAGCAAAGGUCCAAGAGACAUUUGCCAAUGACAGCAAAUACUCAGCUGACGUUAGAAUGAACUCAUUCUCAAGUUUUUCAACAUCUAAAUAUGACCUUUGCCUCUGAGACUGAGUACCAUUACCAGGAGACUGUUCUUCCAUGGUUAUCCUAGCCUUUUUACUUGGAUAUAUAUUGGAGUAAGUUUCCUCAAGUGGAGAAUCAAUCCAAGCAUAUGCAGGAUGAACCAGCUGUAGAGCAUUGAUAGCAGCAGAAAGCCCAUUCAGCCUCUCCUGCAGAAUAAAGGAUCGUCGUUGGAGAUCUUGCGUUGCACCAUGGAUUCUUAAUUGUGCUGAAUACAAGUAAAUAUAGCUCGCUGCUCUCCGCCAAUUAUGUCUCUGCAUAGCAAAUGCAUAGAGCAACUUGAACGGGUUUGGCUUGGCUGAAACAUCUGAACGCUCAGCCUUCCAAGCAAGCUCUCGCUCCACUUUCUCAGACAAGCCAAUAAAUGGUAG
RNAcentral lists this unclassified non-coding RNA (690 nucleotides) under Hevea brasiliensis (rubber tree). Lineage: Eukaryota; Viridiplantae; Streptophyta; Magnoliopsida; Malpighiales; Euphorbiaceae. The record is from RNAcentral.